This 392-nucleotide ribosomal RNA is filed under the name uncultured bacterium. RNAcentral's name for it is "partial 16S ribosomal RNA". It matches the Rfam family "Bacterial small subunit ribosomal RNA", at positions 523 to 918 of the family's 1533-position model. The record is from RNAcentral.
CUACGGAAGGUCCGGGCGUUAUCCGGAUUUAUUGGGUUUAAAGGGAGCGCAGGCGGAGAUGCAAGCGUGACGUCAAAUUUCGGGGCUCAACCCCGUCUCGCGUCGCGAACUGCGUCCCUUGGUUGCGGGAAGGGGAGGCGGAACUCGUGGUGUAGCGGUGAAAUGCAUAGAUAUCACGAAGAACUCCGAUUGCGAAGGCAGUCCGCUGGGGCACGUCUGACGCUGAUGCUCGAAGGUGCGGGAAUCAAACAGGAUUAGAUACCCUGGUAGUCCGCACGGUAAACGAUGAUUACCCGCUGUCGGCGGUAGACAGUCGGCGGCCAAGCGAAAGCGAUAAGUAAUCCACCUGGGGAGUACGCCGGCAACGGUGAAACUCAAAUGAAUUGACGGGG